UUGGUGAGGGUAAAGGCCCACCAAGGCGACGAUCAGUAGCCGGUCUGAGAGGAUGAACGGCCACAUUGGGACUGAGACACGGCCCAGACUCCUACGGGAGGCAGCAGUGGGGAAUCUUCCGCAAUGGGCGAAAGCCUGACGGAGCAACGCCGCGUGAACGAUGAAGGUCUUAGGAUCGUAAAGUUCUGUUGUUAGGGACGAAGGGUAAGAAUCAUAAUAAGGUUUUUAUUUGACGGUACCUAACGAGGAAGCCACGGCUAACUACGUGCCAGCAGCCGCGGUAAUACGUAGGCGGCAAGCGUUGUCCGGAAUUAUUGGGCGUAAAGGGAGCGCAGGCGGGAAACUAAGCGGAUCUUAAAAGUGCGGGGCUCAACCCCGUGAUGGGGUCCGAACUGGUUUUCUUGAGUGCAGGAGAGGAAAGCGGAAUUCCCAGUGUAGCGGUGAAAUGCGUAGAUAUUGGGAAGAACACCAGUGGCGAAGGCGGCUUUCCGGACUGUAACUGACGCUGAGGCUCGAAAGCUAGGGUAGCGAACGGGAUUAGAUACCCCGGUAGUCCUAGCCGUAAACGAUGGAUACUAGGUGUGGGAGGUAUCGACCCCUUCCGUGCCGGAGUUAACGCAAUAAGUAUCCCGCCUGGGGAGUACGGCCGCAAGGUUGCAACUCAAAGGAAUUGACGGA
This 678-nucleotide ribosomal RNA is filed under the name uncultured Bacillota bacterium. RNAcentral describes it as "bacterial SSU rRNA". It matches the Rfam family "Bacterial small subunit ribosomal RNA", at positions 249 to 917 of the family's 1533-position model. The record is from RNAcentral. Lineage: Bacteria; Bacillati; Bacillota.